This 254-nucleotide long non-coding RNA is filed under the name Trifolium pratense (red clover). Its description in RNAcentral is "long non-coding RNA (TPRA_LNC011530)". Lineage: Eukaryota; Viridiplantae; Streptophyta; Magnoliopsida; Fabales; Fabaceae. The record is from RNAcentral.
UUUACAGGUUUUGUGGUAUUCGAUGUCGAGUCGUCGGUGAAGCUCCGCUCUGAUUAUGACACGGGGAAAAAGGGUUUUAUAUUGUAUAUAUAAAGUCUAUUGUCUAGGUUAUUUUGUAUAAUCAAUAAAUAUAUUGUUUGAUUCAAAGAUUUGUAUAAACAAGCAUUUUUAAUAAUUAACUACAUUAGUAUUAUUUUGAUUGAAGAGUGUAAUGUUCGAACCAUGACUUUUAUAAUAAUAAACUUUGAUUUUCC